This 72-nucleotide transfer RNA is filed under the name Camelus bactrianus (Bactrian camel). It matches the Rfam family "tRNA". Rfam says of the family: Transfer RNA (tRNA) molecules are approximately 80 nucleotides in length. The record is from Rfam by way of RNAcentral. Lineage: Eukaryota; Metazoa; Chordata; Mammalia; Artiodactyla; Camelidae. RNAcentral also lists the same sequence under 2 other names.
GAGGGUAUAGCUCAGUAGUAGAGUGUGUGCUUGGCAUAUGUGAGGCCCUGGGUUCAGUCCCCAGUACUUCCA